AGAGAGCAGGAUAGUCAUCAAUGACUGAAGAUGCACAUCAAUUAUUAUCGAAAUUUUGUAUUCUAAAUUGGUCAAAAAGAUUAUUAUAAGGAAAUGUCCAAAAUAACUGACGGAUAAAUAUCAAUGAUUAAAUUAUUGAACAGAAAGGUUGAAAAACAGAAAUAGAUCAUGAGAAGCAUUUCUAUUGCCGAUAUAUAGUGUGUCGAUCUAGACUGAGCAAGAACUGAAUGAGUUGUCAAGAAUUUGGUUUUGUACAAAUAAACAAAUAACCAUAUUAAGCAAAGGAAAAAAUAUUAGAACGUGUGGAAUGCUGUUAAGGAUGUAAUGUAAACGAAUUCUGCAGGUAUUCAGUGAUUAUUAGCUUAAAGACGUGCAAGAUACAUAUAUCUACAAGAUUUGUUUAACACA
Molecule: long non-coding RNA, 408 nt
Filed under: Brassica napus (rape)
Lineage: Eukaryota; Viridiplantae; Streptophyta; Magnoliopsida; Brassicales; Brassicaceae
Description: long non-coding RNA (BNAP_LNC022816)
Source: RNAcentral